RNAcentral lists this ribosomal RNA (606 nucleotides) under Halomonas elongata. Its description in RNAcentral is "bacterial SSU rRNA". It matches the Rfam family "Bacterial small subunit ribosomal RNA", at positions 93 to 695 of the family's 1533-position model. The record is from RNAcentral. Lineage: Bacteria; Pseudomonadati; Pseudomonadota; Gammaproteobacteria; Oceanospirillales; Halomonadaceae.
AGCAGGCGGACGGGUGAGUAAUGCAUAGGAAUCUGCCCGGUAGUGGGGGAUAACUUGAGGAAACUCAAGCUAAUACCGCAUACGCCCUACGGGGGAAAGCAGGGGCUCUUCGGACCUUGCGCUAUCGGAUGAGCUUAUGUCGGAUUAGCUGGUUGGUGAGGUAACGGCUCACCAAGGCGACGAUCCGUAGCUGGUCUGAGAGGAUGAUCAGCCACAUCGGGACUGAGACACGGCCCGAACUCCUACGGGAGGCAGCAGUGGGGAAUAUUGGACAAUGGGGGCAACCCUGAUCCAGCCAUGCCGCGUGUGUGAAGAAGGCCCUCGGGUUGUAAAGCACUUUCAGCGAGGAAGAAUGCUUGUCGGUUAAUACCCGGCAAGGGAGACAUCACUCGCAGAAGAAGCACCGGCUAACUCCGUGCCAGCAGCCGCGGUAAUACGGAGGGUGCGAGCGUUAAUCGGAAUUACUGGGCGUAAAGCGUGCGUAGGCGGCUUGAUAAGCCGGUUGUGAAAGCCCCGGGCUCAACCUGGGAACGGCAUCCGGAACUGUUAGGCUAGAGUGCAGGAGAGGAAGGUAGAAUUCCCGGUGUAGCGGUGAAAUGCGUAGAG